UUUAAAGAGAGUUUGAUCCUGGCUCAGGACGAACGCUGGCGGCGUGCCUAAUACAUGCAAGUCGAACGAACGGAGGAAGAGCUUGCUCUUCCAAUGUUAGUGGCGGACGGGUGAGUAACACGUGGGCAACCUGCCUGUAAGUUGGGGAUAACUCCGGGAAACCGGGGCUAAU
This 172-nucleotide ribosomal RNA is filed under the name Listeria monocytogenes. Its description in RNAcentral is "partial 16S ribosomal RNA". It matches the Rfam family "Bacterial small subunit ribosomal RNA", at positions 1 to 167 of the family's 1533-position model. The record is from RNAcentral. Lineage: Bacteria; Bacillati; Bacillota; Bacilli; Caryophanales; Listeriaceae.